This 2666-nucleotide ribosomal RNA is filed under the name Staphylococcus aureus KINW6025. Its description in RNAcentral is "bacterial LSU rRNA". It matches the Rfam family "Bacterial large subunit ribosomal RNA". Lineage: Bacteria; Bacillati; Bacillota; Bacilli; Caryophanales; Staphylococcaceae. The record is from RNAcentral.
UUAAGUUAUUAAGGGCGCACGGUGGAUGCCUUGGCACUAGAAGCCGAUGAAGGACGUUACUAACGACGAUAUGCUUUGGGGAGCUGUAAGUAAGCUUUGAUCCAGAGAUUUCCGAAUGGGGAAACCCAGCAUGAGUUAUGUCAUGUUAUCGAUAUGUGAAUACAUAGCAUAUCAGAAGGCACACCCGGAGAACUGAAACAUCUUAGUACCCGGAGGAAGAGAAAGAAAAUUCGAUUCCCUUAGUAGCGGCGAGCGAAACGGGAAGAGCCCAAACCAACAAGCUUGCUUGUUGGGGUUGUAGGACACUCUAUACGGAGUUACAAAGGACGACAUUAGACGAAUCAUCUGGAAAGAUGAAUCAAAGAAGGUAAUAAUCCUGUAGUCGAAAAUGUUGUCUCUCUUGAGUGGAUCCUGAGUACGACGGAGCACGUGAAAUUCCGUCGGAAUCUGGGAGGACCAUCUCCUAAGGCUAAAUACUCUCUAGUGACCGAUAGUGAACCAGUACCGUGAGGGAAAGGUGAAAAGCACCCCGGAAGGGGAGUGAAAUAGAACCUGAAACCGUGUGCUUACAAGUAGUCAGAGCCCGUUAAUGGGUGAUGGCGUGCCUUUUGUAGAAUGAACCGGCGAGUUACGAUUUGAUGCAAGGUUAAGCAGUAAAUGUGGAGCCGUAGCGAAAGCGAGUCUGAAUAGGGCGUUUAGUAUUUGGUCGUAGACCCGAAACCAGGUGAUCUACCCUUGGUCAGGUUGAAGUUCAGGUAACACUGAAUGGAGGACCGAACCGACUUACGUUGAAAAGUGAGCGGAUGAACUGAGGGUAGCGGAGAAAUUCCAAUCGAACCUGGAGAUAGCUGGUUCUCUCCGAAAUAGCUUUAGGGCUAGCCUCAAGUGAUGAUUAUUGGAGGUAGAGCACUGUUUGGACGAGGGGCCCCUCUCGGGUUACCGAAUUCAGACAAACUCCGAAUGCCAAUUAAUUUAACUUGGGAGUCAGAACAUGGGUGAUAAGGUCCGUGUUCGAAAGGGAAACAGCCCAGACCACCAGCUAAGGUCCCAAAAUAUAUGUUAAGUGGAAAAGGAUGUGGCGUUGCCCAGACAACUAGGAUGUUGGCUUAGAAGCAGCCAUCAUUUAAAGAGUGCGUAAUAGCUCACUAGUCGAGUGACACUGCGCCGAAAAUGUACCGGGGCUAAACAUAUUACCGAAGCUGUGGAUUGUCCUUUGGACAAUGGUAGGAGAGCGUUCUAAGGGCGUUGAAGCAUGAUCGUAAGGACAUGUGGAGCGCUUAGAAGUGAGAAUGCCGGUGUGAGUAGCGAAAGACGGGUGAGAAUCCCGUCCACCGAUUGACUAAGGUUUCCAGAGGAAGGCUCGUCCGCUCUGGGUUAGUCGGGUCCUAAGCUGAGGCCGACAGGCGUAGGCGAUGGAUAACAGGUUGAUAUUCCUGUACCACCUAUAAUCGUUUUAAUCGAUGGGGGGACGCAGUAGGAUAGGCGAAGCGUGCGAUUGGAUUGCACGUCUAAGCAGUAAGGCUGAGUAUUAGGCAAAUCCGGUACUCGUUAAGGCUGAGCUGUGAUGGGGAGAAGACAUUGUGUCUUCGAGUCGUUGAUUUCACACUGCCGAGAAAAGCCUCUAGAUAGAAAAUAGGUGCCCGUACCGCAAACCGACACAGGUAGUCAAGAUGAGAAUUCUAAGGUGAGCGAGCGAACUCUCGUUAAGGAACUCGGCAAAAUGACCCCGUAACUUCGGGAGAAGGGGUGCUCUUUAGGGUUAACGCCCAGAAGAGCCGCAGUGAAUAGGCCCAAGCGACUGUUUAUCAAAAACACAGGUCUCUGCUAAACCGUAAGGUGAUGUAUAGGGGCUGACGCCUGCCCGGUGCUGGAAGGUUAAGAGGAGUGGUUAGCUUCUGCGAAGCUACGAAUCGAAGCCCCAGUAAACGGCGGCCGUAACUAUAACGGUCCUAAGGUAGCGAAAUUCCUUGUCGGGUAAGUUCCGACCCGCACGAAAGGCGUAACGAUUUGGGCACUGUCUCAACGAGAGACUCGGUGAAAUCAUAGUACCUGUGAAGAUGCAGGUUACCCGCGACAGGACGGAAAGACCCCGUGGAGCUUUACUGUAGCCUGAUAUUGAAAUUCGGCACAGCUUGUACAGGAUAGGUAGGAGCCUUUGAAACGUGAGCGCUAGCUUACGUGGAGGCGCUGGUGGGAUACUACCCUAGCUGUGUUGGCUUUCUAACCCGCACCACUUAUCGUGGUGGGAGACAGUGUCAGGCGGGCAGUUUGACUGGGGCGGUCGCCUCCUAAAAGGUAACGGAGGCGCUCAAAGGUUCCCUCAGAAUGGUUGGAAAUCAUUCAUAGAGUGUAAAGGCAUAAGGGAGCUUGACUGCGAGACCUACAAGUCGAGCAGGGUCGAAAGACGGACUUAGUGAUCCGGUGGUUCCGCAUGGAAGGGCCAUCGCUCAACGGAUAAAAGCUACCCCGGGGAUAACAGGCUUAUCUCCCCCAAGAGUUCACAUCGACGGGGAGGUUUGGCACCUCGAUGUCGGCUCGUCGCAUCCUGGGGCUGUAGUCGGUCCCAAGGGUUGGGCUGUUCGCCCAUUAAAGCGGUACGCGAGCUGGGUUCAGAACGUCGUGAGACAGUUCGGUCCCUAUCCGUCGUGGGCGUAGGAAAUUUGAGA